Cavia aperea (Brazilian guinea pig) is the source of this 104-nucleotide small nuclear RNA. The record is from Ensembl. NCBI's taxonomy places the organism in Eukaryota, Metazoa, Chordata, Mammalia, Rodentia, Caviidae.
GUGUUCACUUUGGCAAUACACAUACUAAAGCUGGAAUAACACAUGGAUUGGCACAGCCGUUGUGUGAGGGUGACAUGCAUGUCUGUGAAGCAGUCUGUAUUUUU